Clostridium sp. CAG:594 is the source of this 348-nucleotide non-coding RNA. The record is from Rfam. NCBI's taxonomy places the organism in Bacteria, Bacillati, Bacillota, Clostridia, Eubacteriales, Clostridiaceae.
GUUUUUACGUAAACGCUGCUAAUUAUUAGUAGAGGAAAGUCCACGCUCACACGGACCUGUAACGGACGUAGUGUUCAUGCAAAGGGAACAAAUAACCUUUGGUAGGAUUUAAUCCUAACGGCGUCGAGGUAGCCUAAGUUUUUAAUAUGGCUAUAUUAGGCAUAAAGUGCCAUAGUGACGAUUUUGCUUGGAAACUUGCAAAGUGGAACGGGUAAACCCCAUGAGUGAGAAACCCAAAAUUGGUAGGGGAACUUCUAUGAAGGAACAAAAACGGAUUAGAAGAUGCUUUUUAAAAGCAUAGAUAAAUGUUUACGACCAGAUAUCUGGUACAGAACGUGGCUUAUUAAA